Molecule: ribosomal RNA, 496 nt
Filed under: uncultured bacterium
Lineage: Bacteria
Description: partial 16S ribosomal RNA
Rfam family: Bacterial small subunit ribosomal RNA
Source: RNAcentral
GAUGAACGCUGGCGGCGUGCCUAAUACAUGCAAGUCGAGCGAACGGACGAGAAGCUUGCUUCUCUGAUGUUAGCGGCGGACGGGUGAGUAACACGUGGAUAACCUACCUAUAAGACUGGGAUAACUUCGGGAAACCGGAGCUAAUACCGGAUAAUAUUUUGAACCGCAUGGUUCAAAAGUGAAAGACGGUCUUGCUGUCACUUAUAGAUGGAUCCGCGCUGCAUGAGCUAGUUGGUAAGGUAACGGCUUACCAAGGCAACGAUGCAUAGCCGACCUGAGGGGGGGUACGGCGCCUCUGGAGCUGAGACACGGUCCAGGCUCCUACGGGAGGCAGCAGUAGGGAAUCUUCCGCGAUGGGCGAAAGCCUGACGGAGCAACGCCGCGUGAGUGAUGAAGGUCUUCGGGUCGUAAAACUCUGUUCUUAGGGAAGAACAUAUGUGUAAGUAACUGUGCACAUCUUGACGGUACCUAAUCAGAAAGCCACGGCUAACUACGU